Molecule: ribosomal RNA, 731 nt
Filed under: Mycoplana sp.
Lineage: Bacteria; Pseudomonadati; Pseudomonadota; Alphaproteobacteria; Hyphomicrobiales; Rhizobiaceae
Description: bacterial SSU rRNA
Rfam family: Bacterial small subunit ribosomal RNA
Source: RNAcentral
AGAGCGAACGCUGGCGGCAGGCCUAACACAUGCAAGUCGAACGGACCUUUCGGGGUUAGUGGCGGACGGGUGAGUAACACGUGGGAACGUGCCUUUAGGUUCGGAAUAGCUCCUGGAAACGGGUGGUAAUGCCGAAUGUGCCCUUCGGGGGAAAGAUUUAUCGCCUUUAGAGCGGCCCGCGUCUGAUUAGCUAGUUGGUUGAGGUAACGGCUCACCAAGGCGACGAUCAGUAGCUGGUCUGAGAGGAUGGCCAGCCACAUUGGGACUGAGACACGGCCCAAACUCCUACGGGAGGCAGCAGUGGGGAAUCUUGCGCAAUGGGCGAAAGCCUGACGCAGCCAUGCCGCGUGAAUGAUGAAGGUCUUAGGAUUGUAAAAUUCUUUCACCGGGGACGAUAAUGACGGUACCCGGAGAAGAAGCCCCGGCUAACUUCGUGCCAGCAGCCGCGGUAAUACGAAGGGGGCUAGCGUUGCUCGGAAUUACUGGGCGUAAAGGGCGCGUAGGCGGACAUUUAAGUCAGGGGUGAAAUCCCAGAGCUCAACUCUGGAACUGCCUUUGAUACUGGGUGUCUUGAGUGUGAGAGAGGUAUGUGGAACUCCGAGUGUAGAGGUGAAAUUCGUAGAUAUUCGGAAGAACACCAGUGGCGAAGGCGACAUACUGGCUCAUUACUGACGCUGAGGCGCGAAAGCGUGGGGAGCAAACAGGAUUAGAUACCCUGGUAGUCCACGCCG